AACGAACGCUGGCGGCAGGCCUAACACAUGCAAGUCGAGCGCGCCCUUCGGGGUGAGCGGCGGACGGGUGAGUAACGCGUGGGAACGUGCCCUUCUCUGCGGAAUAGCCUCGGGAAACGGAGAGUAAUACCGCAUAGGCCCUUUGGGGGAAAGAUUUAUCGGAGAAGGAUCGGCCCGCGUUGGAUUAGGUAGUUGGUGGGGUAAUGGCCCACCAAGCCGACGAUCCAUAGCUGGUUUGAGAGGAUGAUCAGCCACACUGGGACUGAGACACGGCCCAGACUCCUACGGGAGGGAGCAGUGGGGAAUCUUAGACCAUGGGGGCAAUCAUGAUGUAGCCAUGCCGGGUGAGUGAUGAAGGCCUUAGGGUAGUAAAGCUCGUUCAGCUGGGAAGAUAAUGACGGUACCAGCAGAAGAAGCCCCGGCUAACUCCGUG
RNAcentral lists this ribosomal RNA (433 nucleotides) under uncultured bacterium. Its description in RNAcentral is "partial 16S ribosomal RNA". It matches the Rfam family "Bacterial small subunit ribosomal RNA", at positions 29 to 507 of the family's 1533-position model. The record is from RNAcentral.